This 224-nucleotide long non-coding RNA is filed under the name Elaeis guineensis (African oil palm). RNAcentral describes it as "long non-coding RNA (EGUI_LNC052751)". Lineage: Eukaryota; Viridiplantae; Streptophyta; Magnoliopsida; Arecales; Arecaceae. The record is from RNAcentral.
AGCUAACAUGCACAGCAAGGAUCCGAAUAGCUAAAGAUCAAGAAAAUAUGCAAUCAAACUAAGUAAUCUCACUAUGAAUAGCUAACAUACCAUAGGUCAAAGGACUAGUCACAUGAUUGUAGUAUUAAGAAAAUUACUGACGAGUGAGUAUAUAUCUAAGUAGUUUCUCGUGUUGGUUAUGCUCAGUACAAGUUAUUCUCUAACAACCACCCAUACUCUCAUCC